Zingiber officinale is the source of this 242-nucleotide long non-coding RNA. RefSeq lists it as uncharacterized. NCBI's taxonomy places the organism in Eukaryota, Viridiplantae, Streptophyta, Magnoliopsida, Zingiberales, Zingiberaceae. The transcript is spliced from 2 exons. The record is from RefSeq and is a predicted model, not a curated record.
GAUUUUGGUGGAAAUGCAGCAAAGGCAGGACUUAGGGCUGGAGACCAAGUAUUGUACACAAGCAGCUUCUUUGGGGAUGAGCUGCGGCCUGUUGAUAAGCUGGGUUUUACCAAAACAGCUAUCCAAGCAAAGCCAGACUCUGUUUAUUUUGUAGUAAACAGGGGAGCAGAGGUAGAUGUAAAAAGACUAACUAAGAGGCCUGCUCCUCCUCGAUUUGGUCGCACCUUGACUGAAGCACAAAA